This is a non-coding RNA of Camellia sinensis, 396 nucleotides long. Lineage: Eukaryota; Viridiplantae; Streptophyta; Magnoliopsida; Ericales; Theaceae. The record is from RefSeq and is a predicted model, not a curated record.
CUAGUAUCUGCUGUCUGCACUGCAUUAGGCACGUCCUCUGGCCCUAUUCUUUUGGAGGCAGGCUUGCAGUUGGCUACAAAGAUACUAACGAAUGGGAUAAUUAGUGGAGAUCAAAUUGCAGUUAAGAGAAUAUUUUCAUUGAUAUCACAUCCACUGAACAACUUUGAGGAUCUUUACUAUCCAUCAUUUGCAGAAUGGGUAUCAUGCAAGGUAUAUCAUUUCACUAUUCUCCAAAUUGUUCAAUGAAAUGAAGAAGGCCAAUUGGUGGAUCUGCUCCAAAUUAUUCAAUGUAAAUUAAGGGUUGGUUUGGGAAUAUAGGCUAUUUUAGUAACUUUUUGGCUAAAAUAAGAGGUGAAAAAAAUUAGUAUGCUUGGGAUGAUUUUUUGGAUUUUUACA